UACAGAGGGGGCAAGCGUUGUUCGGAAUUACUGGGCGUAAAGGGCGCGUAGGCGGCCGCCUAAGUCAGACGUGAAAUCCCUCGGCUCAACCGGGGAACUGCGUCUGAUACUGGGUGGCUUGAAUUCGGGAGAGGGAUGCGGAAUUCCAGGUGUAGCGGUGAAAUGCGUAGAUAUCUGGAGGAACACCGGUGGCGAAGGCGGCAUCCUGGACCGAAACUGACACUGAGGCGCGAAAGCUAGGGGAGCAAACGGG
RNAcentral lists this ribosomal RNA (253 nucleotides) under uncultured bacterium. RNAcentral describes it as "partial 16S ribosomal RNA". It matches the Rfam family "Bacterial small subunit ribosomal RNA", at positions 524 to 776 of the family's 1533-position model. The record is from RNAcentral.